GAUGAACGCUGGUGGCGUGCCUAACACAUGCAAGUCGAGCGAUUCUCUUCGGAGAAGAGCGGCGGACGGGUGAGUAACGCGUGGGUAACCUGCCCUGUACACACGGAUAACAUACCGAAAGGUAUGCUAAUACGAGAUAACAUGCUUUUAUCGCAUGGUAGAAGUAUCAAAGCUUUUGCGGUACAGGAUGGACCCGCGUCUGAUUAGCUAGUUGGUGAGGUAACGGCUCACCAAGGCGACGAUCAGUAGCCGACCUGAGGGGGUGAUCGGCCACAUUGGAACUGAGACACGGUCCAAACUCCUACGGGAAGCAGCAGUGGGGAAUAUUGCACAAUGGGCGAAAGCCUGAUGCAGCAACGCCGCGUGAGCGAUGAAGGCCUUCGGGUCGUAAAGCUCUGUCCUCAAGGAAGAUAAUGACGGUACUUGAGGAGGAAGCCCCGGCUAACUACGUG
RNAcentral lists this ribosomal RNA (452 nucleotides) under uncultured bacterium. RNAcentral's name for it is "partial 16S ribosomal RNA". It matches the Rfam family "Bacterial small subunit ribosomal RNA", at positions 28 to 507 of the family's 1533-position model. The record is from RNAcentral.